Molecule: long non-coding RNA, 360 nt
Organism: Sinocyclocheilus anshuiensis
Lineage: Eukaryota; Metazoa; Chordata; Actinopteri; Cypriniformes; Cyprinidae
Exons: 3
Source: RefSeq, a predicted model, not a curated record
GAUCAAUCUAGCAGUCAUUCUAGAUCUAUGAUUUAUCAUGUUCAUAACAUAUAGUGAUUAGUCAAUAAUCACUGACGAAAAAUAAUGAUUCUUCUUUUUCUCUCUUUUGCUUGUUUCAACAGGAGCUAACUACACCCCAAAGGCUAUUUUAGGAGCCACAGCACUGAGCAUCUUUGGCUUUGAGCCAACUACACCCCAGAGACUCUUUUAAGGGCCACCUAGAAUCACGGCACCUUUGGCUUUAUCAGCUGUCAGUGGUUAUGGAGGCCAUGCAGCCAAGACCAACUGGGAUGCUUGUUGCCAUAUUUCUUUUUGUUGCAAUAUUGUCAUGAUCUCUGCUUUGAUUUGUUGUUAUGAAUU